This 72-nucleotide transfer RNA is filed under the name Bos taurus (domestic cattle). It matches the Rfam family "tRNA". From Rfam's summary of the family: Transfer RNA (tRNA) molecules are approximately 80 nucleotides in length. RNAcentral also lists the same sequence under 4 other names. Lineage: Eukaryota; Metazoa; Chordata; Mammalia; Artiodactyla; Bovidae. The record is from Rfam by way of RNAcentral.
UCCCUGGUGGCUCAGACGGUAAAGAAUCUGCCUGCAAAGCAGGAGACCUGGGUUUGAUCCCUGGGUUGGGAA